RNAcentral lists this ribosomal RNA (862 nucleotides) under uncultured bacterium. Its description in RNAcentral is "bacterial SSU rRNA". It matches the Rfam family "Bacterial small subunit ribosomal RNA", at positions 631 to 1502 of the family's 1533-position model. The record is from RNAcentral.
AACUGUAUGACUGGUGUGAGUGUGAGGUAGGCGGAAUGCGUUGUGUAGCGGUGAAAUGCAUAGAUAUGACGCAGAACUCCGAUUGCGAAGGCAGCUUACCAACACUUUACGGACGCUGAGGCACGAAAGCGUGGGUAUCGAACAGGAUUAGAUACCCUGGUAGUCCACGCAGUAAACGAUGAAUACUAAUUGUUCGGGGGGCAACCCCUGAGUGAUACAGCGAAAGCGUUAAGUAUUCCACCUGGGGAGUACGCCGGCAACGGUGAAACUCAAAGGAAUUGACGGGGGCCCGCACAAGCGGAGGAACAUGUGGUUUAAUUCGAUGAUACGCGAGGAACCUUACCCGGGCUCAAACGUUGGGGGAAUGCUCCUGAAAGGGAGCAGCCAGCAAUGGUCGCCAACGAGGUGCUGCAUGGUUGUCGUCAGCUCGUGCCGUGAGGUGUCGGCUUAAGUGCCAUAACGAGCGCAACCCCUGCGUCCAGUUACCAUCAAGUCAUGUUGGGGACUCUGGACGGACUGCCGGCGCAAGCCGUGAGGAAGGCGGGGAUGACGUCAAAUCAGCACGGCCCUUACGUCCGGGGCGACACACGUGUUACAAUGGCGUGGAACAGCGGGAAGCCACCUGGCGACAGGGAGCGGACCCCUAAAACACGUCUCAGUUCGGAUUGGAGUCUGCAACUCGACUCCAUGAAGCUGGAUUCGCUAGUAAUCGCGCAUCAGCCAUGGCGCGGUGAAUACGUUCCCGGGCCUUGUACACACCGCCCGUCAAGCCAUGGGAGCCGGGNNNNNNNNAAGUACGUAACCGGAAGGAGCGUCCAAGGGUAACACUGGUGACUGGGGCAAAGUCGUAACAAGGUAACCA